This is a long non-coding RNA of Lemur catta (Ring-tailed lemur), 299 nucleotides long. RefSeq lists it as uncharacterized. The record is from RefSeq and is a predicted model, not a curated record. Lineage: Eukaryota; Metazoa; Chordata; Mammalia; Primates; Lemuridae. The transcript has 4 exons.
CGGGCAUCAACCACGGAGGAGACCAGGGAUGCUGCUGACCGAAAAGAAGGGCGAGAGUGGCCAACGAGGACAGCGAACCAAUCUCUGUAGGUAGCAGAAUCCCAAGUUGAAAGCCUCUGCUCUUUAACACCUGUUGCAAUAACCCCGCAGGAAAGGCCCCGGGCAUCAACCACGGAGGAGACCAGGGAUGCUGCUGACAAAAAAGAAGGGCGAGAGUGGCCAACGAGGACAGCGAACCAAAGCACACUAGCCCAGUGAACACCGGAGGGAGAGAAACGGAGACAGACCAGGCAUUACCC